This is a long non-coding RNA of Mercenaria mercenaria, 970 nucleotides long. RefSeq lists it as uncharacterized. NCBI's taxonomy places the organism in Eukaryota, Metazoa, Mollusca, Bivalvia, Venerida, Veneridae. The record is from RefSeq and is a predicted model, not a curated record. The transcript has 2 exons.
UGGUGCAGACAGAAUGUGAGCCAGGAAGUACAUCUGUAAAAGCCCAGACAUAUAGAUAUUAGGAGUAUCUUCAUUCUUCAAUUGCAUCUUAGCUAAGAAGUUAACUUGGAUCUGCUUCACAGGGAGUCAUUGAUGUUCAACUAAGUAGUAGGAUACAGUUUUCUGAUCAAAUGAAAUGGCUUUAUCUUAUCUGGCUGGAAUUUAAAGAGCUGGGACUACCAUCAGGAAAAUGUACCAUGUAAUAACACUAACCCAGAACACUGCUACUGAGUCUACCACACAGUAAAGCCGACUAGGGAAUAGCAAUUUAGUCGACCACACAGUGACAGGAACCCGGAGCAUUGCUACUAAUUGUCUCCUAUACAGUAGUUCUGAUUCAGAACAUUGCUACUGGGUCUACCACACAGUAAUGUGGAUUAGGACAUUGCUAUCAAGAUUUUCCAUGCAGUUACACUGACCAGAGUAGUCCAAACAGGAAAAACACUUAGGAUAACUUAGGACGUGUGGUCUUCCACACUGUAAUACUGACCCCAAAGUGUAGCUUUUCUAUGGAAAAUUCAGACAGAUAACUGAAGUUACCUGUCAGUAGGGGCAAUAAACUCUUUAUUAUCUGUUUAUGUUAACACUCCUGAUACUGAAGGCUGGACUCUGCUGAACACUGGAAAAAAAGCAGAGAGAAACAUGCAACUCACUCUGUGACAUUAGUGCAAUUUUUUUUCAAAUGUGACCAUGAGAUAUAGACAUUAAAAUUAUUUUAAGUAACAUUUAAGUAAUGUUCAAAGGUGGUAGUGAAAACUCACUGAAUGUGACAUCAAAGUUCAAAUGAGUGGGAAAGAAAGAUAGUUGUAGUUACUAGUAAAAAUUUAAGAUUAGAUAUUAAAAUAAUUUUUAAAAGUGACAGUAGGUACAGUAAAAUGUGGAUAAUAUGCAUUUUGAUUGAUAAUGUCAAAUAAUAAAGUGUAACUGAUUG